CCUGGAGAAGUCUGCUACUUUCAGAAAUGCUGCGUCACUGACGUCAUCACGUUAGAGUUGCUCGUCCAAUCACACGCGUCGUCUCGCAAGAACCGCGCGAUAAACGAACGGACUAAGAAGUUGUUUAUGUUACGUGAGUUUCUACAUUAUCGACCCGGUAUCGCCAGUCUCACUACAGGCCCCUCAUAUGGAACAGCCUGGACAUGACCGACUGGUUUCAGUCAGACCCGCAACAGACACUGAGAAGAAACUGUUGAGCGUUAUCAGUGGGCUGUCUGCCAGAGAGCACCGCUGGAGGAGAAGCUGGAGCACAGGCUGGAGCGGUGUCUGAGCUGCAGGAGAGGAUGUCCGCCAUGGAAGCCCAAAUAAACACUUUCUCCAGCGCGAGGGCGGCGAGGAAAUUCAGCGGAAAAGAGGAGAGCACAUUCCUAAAAUUGUGCCGCUUGUAAAACCCAUUACUCUGCGCAGGAAUUUCCGCUAUAGUCAACCCGACAUGGUGGAUCAGGCGGAGGCGAUUAAGUCAUCUGCCCGGAGUCGGCAGAGAAGAAAGAGAUAAAUGUUUUGGAGUUCUGGAAUGGCAUCACAGCGGACAUGAUGUCGGAUGAGGAGGACGGCAGUGUCGAUGGCGUACAUGGAUGGAUUGUGUGGCCUCCAUCCUUCCGCAGCCAGGAGCUUUCCAACUUGUGUGCUGCCCUACAGGCCAGGCUGGAAGCUGAUGGAAGGUACACAGCUCUUCAUCACAGACGUUUUUACAAUGGACAGCCGUCUGAAAGACUGAAGCCAUUGAAAUAGGACAGGGCAACAGCGAGGAAACAUUUAAUUCCAGAGCUGAUGCCUGAGACCAGCCCGGAGUGACAGAUCAACUAUGUUUUAGUUUUUGUUUUGAAAUGUAUAUAUAUUUUUGAAACUUUGAACAAUUCUAUUUCAUUUUUUUCAUUUUAAUUUUUUUUUGUAUUUUUUGAAAGAACAGCUUAUUUUAAUUUGGAUUUCGGAUCACUGAA
This is a long non-coding RNA of Acanthochromis polyacanthus (spiny chromis), 1001 nucleotides long. RefSeq lists it as uncharacterized. The transcript is spliced from 3 exons. The record is from RefSeq and is a predicted model, not a curated record. NCBI's taxonomy places the organism in Eukaryota, Metazoa, Chordata, Actinopteri, Pomacentridae.